GGUUAAGCGACUAAGCGUACACGGUGGAUGCCCUGGCAGUCAGAGGCGAUGAAGGACGUGCUAAUCUGCGAUAAGCGUCGGUAAGGUGAUAUGAACCGUUAUAACCGGCGAUUUCCGAAUGGGGAAACCCAGUGUGAUUCGUCACACUAUCAUUACGUGAAUACAUAGCGUAAUGAAGCGAACCGGGGGAACUGAAACAUCUAAGUACCCCGAGGAAAAGAAAUCAACCGAGAUUCCCCCAGUAGCGGCGAGCGAACGGGGAGCAGCCCAGAGUCUGAAUCAGCUUGUGUGUUAGUGGAACGGUCUGGAAAGUCCGACGGUACAGGGUGAUAGUCCCGUACACCAAAAUGCACAGGUUGUGAACUCGAAGAGUAGGGCGGGACACGUGGUAUCCUGUCUGAAUAUGGGGGGACCAUCCUCCAAGGCUAAAUACUCCUGACUGACCGAUAGUGAACCAGUACCGUGAGGGAAAGGCGAAAAGAACCCCGGCGAGGGGAGUGAAAAAGAACCUGAAACCGUGUACGUACAAGCAGUGGGAGCCUCUUUAUGGGGUGACUGCGUACCUUUUGUAUAAUGGGUCAGCGACUUAUAUUCUGUAGCAAGGUUAACCGUAUAGGGGAGCCGAAGGGAAACCGAGUCUUAACUGGGCGUUAAGUUGCAGGGUAUAGACCCGAAACCCGGUGAUCUAGCCAUGGGCAGGUUGAAGGUUGGGUAACACUAACUGGAGGACCGAACCGACUAAUGUUGAAAAAUUAGCGGAUGACUUGUGGCUGGGGGUGAAAGGCCAAUCAAACCGGGAGAUAGCUGGUUCUCCCCGAAAGCUAUUUAGGUAGCGCCUCGUGAAUUCAUCUUCGGGGGUAGAGCACUGUUUCGGCUAGGGGGUCAUCCCGACUUACCAACCCGAUGCAAACUGCGAAUACCGAAGAAUGUUAUCACGGGAGACACACGGCGGGUGCUAACGUCCGUCGUGAAGAGGGAAACAACCCAGACCGCCAGCUAAGGUCCCAAAGUCAUGGUUAAGUGGGAAACGAUGUGGGAAGGCACAGACAGCCAGGAUGUUGGCUUAGAAGCAGCCAUCAUUUAAAGAAAGCGUAAUAGCUCACUGGUCGAGUCGGCCUGCGCGGAAGAUGUAACGGGGCUAAACCAUGCACCGAAGCUGCGGCAGCGACACUAUGUGUUGUUGGGUAGGGGAGCGUUCUGUAAGCCGUUGAAGGUGUAUCGUGAGGUAUGCUGGAGGUAUCAGAAGUGCGAAUGCUGACAUAAGUAACGAUAAUGCGGGUGAAAAACCCGCACGCCGGAAGACCAAGGGUUCCUGUCCAACGUUAAUCGGGGCAGGGUGAGUCGACCCCUAAGGCGAGGCCGAAAGGCGUAGUCGAUGGGAAACAGGUUAAUAUUCCUGUACUUGGUGUUACUGCGAAGGGGGGACGGAGAAGGCUAUGUUAGCCGGGCGACGGUUGUCCCGGUUUAAGCAUGUAGGCGGAGGUUCCAGGUAAAUCCGGUACCUUUUAACGCUGAGGUGUGAUGACGAGGCACUACGGUGCUGAAGUAACAAAUGCCCUGCUUCCAGGAAAAGCCUCUAAGCAUCAGGUAACACGAAAUCGUACCCCAAACCGACACAGGUGGUCAGGUAGAGAAUACCAAGGCGCUUGAGAGAACUCGGGUGAAGGAACUAGGCAAAAUGGUGCCGUAACUUCGGGAGAAGGCACGCUGAUAUGUAGGUGAAGUGAUUUACUCAUGGAGCUGAAAUCAGUCGAAGAUACCAGCUGGCUGCAACUGUUUAUUAAAAACACAGCACUGUGCAAACACGAAAGUGGACGUAUACGGUGUGACGCCUGCCCGGUGCCGGAAGGUUAAUUGAUGGGGUUAUCCGUAAGGAGAAGCUCUUGAUCGAAGCCCCGGUAAACGGCGGCCGUAACUAUAACGGUCCUAAGGUAGCGAAAUUCCUUGUCGGGUAAGUUCCGACCUGCACGAAUGGCGUAAUGAUGGCCAGGCUGUCUCCACCCGAGACUCAGUGAAAUUGAACUCGCUGUGAAGAUGCAGUGUACCCGCGGCAAGACGGAAAGACCCCGUGAACCUUUACUAUAGCUUGACACUGAACACUGGUCCUUGAUGUGUAGGAUAGGUGGGAGGCUUUGAAGUGUGGACGCCAGUCUGCAUGGAGCCAUCCUUGAAAUACCACCCUUUAAUGGCUGGUGUUCUAACGUGGACCCGUAAUCCGGGUUGCGGACAGUGUCUGGUGGGUAGUUUGACUGGGGCGGUCUCCUCCUAAAGAGUAACGGAGGAGCACGAAGGUUAGCUAAUCCUGGUCGGACAUCAGGAGGUUAGUGCAAAGGCAUAAGCUAGCUUGACUGCGAGAGUGACGGCUCGAGCAGGUGCGAAAGCAGGUCUUAGUGAUCCGGUGGUUCUGAAUGGAAGGGCCAUCGCUCAACGGAUAAAAGGUACUCCGGGGAUAACAGGCUGAUACCGCCCAAGAGUUCAUAUCGACGGCGGUGUUUGGCACCUCGAUGUCGGCUCAUCACAUCCUGGGGCUGAAGUAGGUCCCAAGGGUAUGGCUGUUCGCCAUUUAAAGUGGUACGCGAGCUGGGUUUAGAACGUCGUGAGACAGUUCGGUCCCUAUCUGCCGUGGGCGCUGGAGAAUUGAGGGGGGCUGCUCCUAGUACGAGAGGACCGGAGUGGACGCAUCACUGGUGUUCGGGUUGUCAUGCCAAUGGCAUUGCCCGGUAGCUAAAUGCGGAAGAGAUAAGUGCUGAAAGCAUCUAAGCACGAAACUUGCCCCGAGAUGAGUUCUCCCUGAGACUUAAAGUCUCCUGAAGGAACGUUAAAGACGAUGACGUUGAUAGGUCGGGUGUGUAAGUGUAGCGAUACAUUGAGCUAACCGAUACUAAUGAACCGUGAGGCUUAACCUU
Molecule: ribosomal RNA, 2906 nt
Filed under: Citrobacter freundii
Lineage: Bacteria; Pseudomonadati; Pseudomonadota; Gammaproteobacteria; Enterobacterales; Enterobacteriaceae
Description: 23S ribosomal RNA
Rfam family: Bacterial large subunit ribosomal RNA
Source: RNAcentral